AACUUACCAGGUCAAGACAUGGGCGUGAUUGACAGGCUAAUGACUUUUCUCGAUUCCAUGGAUGGUGGUGCAUGGUCGCACUUAGUUGGUGCAGUGAUUUGUCAGGUUUAUUCCGGUAACGAACGAGACCUCGGCCUUGUAAAUAGCUAUGCUGCUUACAGGGACAUUGGCGGCUACGCCAAGGAAGCUCGAGGCAAUUGCAGAUCUGGAAUGCCCUUAGAUGUCCUGGGUCGCACGCGUGCUACAAUGACGCCACGAACGAGCUUGCGUGAUGAAAGUUACGCAUAAUCAGCAGUCGGCGUCUUAAGGGAUAGUCUCUUGUAACUGUGGGACUCCAACUAGGAAUGUCUCGUAAGCACAAGUCAACAUCUUGUGUUGAUUACGUCCCUGCUCUUUGUACACACCGCCCGUCGCUCCUACCGAUCGAGUGUUUAGGUGAAUUUGAUGGACGUAAGGAAGUCAAAUAAACCUGAGCACUAGAGAAGAGAAGUCUAUCAUGU
RNAcentral lists this ribosomal RNA (500 nucleotides) under uncultured Myrionecta. RNAcentral's name for it is "bacterial SSU rRNA". It matches the Rfam family "Eukaryotic small subunit ribosomal RNA", at positions 1212 to 1799 of the family's 1831-position model. The record is from RNAcentral. Lineage: Eukaryota; Ciliophora; Litostomatea; Cyclotrichida; Mesodiniidae.